UAUCCAUGAUGUGGACACUUCAAAAGUAGCCCAUUGAAUCGCUCCCAUGUUUCGAAAAAUUGUUCAUCUUCUCUCUGGGUAAACUUUGAGAUUUUCCUGCGAAU
This is a non-coding RNA of Citrus sinensis (sweet orange), 104 nucleotides long. The record is from Rfam. NCBI's taxonomy places the organism in Eukaryota, Viridiplantae, Streptophyta, Magnoliopsida, Sapindales, Rutaceae.